RNAcentral lists this ribosomal RNA (468 nucleotides) under uncultured bacterium. Its description in RNAcentral is "bacterial SSU rRNA". It matches the Rfam family "Bacterial small subunit ribosomal RNA", at positions 329 to 794 of the family's 1533-position model. The record is from RNAcentral.
UUCCAGACUCCUACGGGAGGCAGCAGUGAGGAAUAUUGGUCAAUGGGCGGGAGCCUGAACCAGCCAAGUCGUGUGAGGGAAGGCGGUCCUAUGGAUUGUAAACCUCUUUAGGCGGGGAGCAAUGCCGGGCACGCGUGUCCGGAGGGAGAGUACCCGCAGAAUAAGCAUCGGCUAACUCCGUGCCAGCAGCCGCGGUAAUACGGAGGAUGCGAGCGUUAUCCGGAUUUAUUGGGUUUAAAGGGUGCGUAGGCGGAGUUUUAAGUCAGCGGUAAAAUGUCCGGGCUCAACCCGGGCCGGCCGUUGAAACUGAUGUUCUUGAGUGGGCGAGAAGUAUGCGGAAUGCGUGGUGUAGCGGUGAAAUGCAUAGAUAUCACGCAGAACUCCGAUCGCGAAGGCAGCCUACCGGCGCGCUACUGACGCUCAUGCACGAAAGCGUGGGUAUCGAACAGGAUUAGAUACCCUCGUACA